AUUCUGACUGUCUCACUCUCCGUAUGCUCUUUAUCUACCUCACUGUAUCUGUUUCACUCUUUCUGUCUCACUCUUUGCCUCACUCUGACGGUCUCACUCUCCAUAUGCUCUUUGUCUACCCCACCGUAUCACUAUAUCCAACCAAACGAUGAUUAAUUGCCGAGUUCUGACUUUAUUUUUUUAAUCUCCCCGACUCAGACGUCCCGUAUGUAAAACGCGCGCUUGCGUAAAUGGAGGCCAGAUACGAGGCGAAUCUGAUUGGCUGAGGAGGCUGACAAUCUGAAACGAUAUCUCCAAAUUAGAAUGGAAUUUAUUUCACCUAGGGUUCGGUUAGGCGAAGGGUUAACGGGGAAAGUGUAAAGGUUCCGAUGGGCGGAGCUAUCACAAAACUGGCUGAAAAGGAAUAUUACACGAGUUUUUUUUAGUGGGCGGAGUCUGUGUAGAGAAGCAGGAACCACAGGAAGUGAAAGAGUACCGUUGAGAUUGUAGAAAUCCUGCAGAUUAACUUGUCUGUCAUAAUUAUUUUGAGAAUUGAUCGGCCACCUGAGUAGUAAACGACUAUCGAAUAUUUCCCAUGAGUACAUCUUCGCUUCUGGAGCGUGUGUGUGUGUGUGUGUGUGUGUGUGUGUGUGUGUGUUGUGUAAUUUGUUGUAUUGUUCUUGUCUUACACCGUGUGUAUAUCUUUGUGGAGAUUUGAUAUUUCAUCACACAUCGUGCACUGGGGUCACACACACACACACACACACAUCAUGAGAAUGGAGAAAAUGCUCCUGUGGUGUAAUUGUGUCGAGUGGAUCAUAAAAAAAAUAUCAAAUUUGUCUUUGUGUUGCUGUUGGCUCUGUUUUUUCCUCUCACACACGCACACACACGCGCGCAAUUCCGCAUCUCUUACUGCAUCGAUCGGCCUUCUCUCUCUCUCUGUGUGUGUGUGUGUGUGUGUGUGUGUGAAGGUGUGUUUCCCAUAAUGUACAGCAGCAGCAGCAGGCGUGCUCUGCGCCAGCUCAGCGUGACGCCCCAUUAGCGCUCGGUCCACAGAACCGACAGAACAGCGGACGAGUGCAGAGAGGCCUCUACCUGCUUCUGCCCUCCUCCUCGCUCCUCCUCUUCCCUCGCUCCACUUGCCCCGAAAACGAAGAAACAGGAGUGACCUUUUCCACCCCGUCACGCCAACACGACUCCGCGGCACAGCGGUGGGGAGAGAGAAGGGAGAGCGAGAGAAGGCGGGAGAGGGGGAGAGAGAGAAGGAGGGAGAGGGAGAGAGAGAGAGAGAAAGAAGGAGAGGUGAUUAAACUUCUCAAAGGCUCGCAGGAAGGAGGUUUUUCAGCAAAAAACAAGACGCCAAACAAAGGCGUAGGUGGUGUGUGAGUGGGGCGAGCUGUUUUUAACGCUUUCCUUGGGUGACCAGAUUACACAAAUUGCUCAUUAUAGAUCUUUAAUUACAUUUUGAGUUGUAAUAGUGACAUCAGGGUUGUACUUGAGGCUGUAGAUGAAAUUAUGACUGCCGCAUUCUCGCGACGCAGUGAGGGUUCAUGGGAAAGCGGACUGCGGGAACCCGGAGACGCUCCGAUGCUUUCACUUGCUUUCCUUUCAGGUGCACGUCAAGAGUUCUUGACAUAAUGGAUUCCUCAAUAAAAAAAUAUUGAUUUCGCUGAAAUUGUGUGUGUGUGUGUGUGUGUGUGUGUGUGUGUGUGUGUGUGUGUGUGUUGGCAUGUACCAGCGUAUCAUAUCAUAGCUCAUGCUACAUGGGCAGUGCACACCCCAUGUACACACAACUGGUGUGUUCGUUUAAGCCUUGUUAAAACAGCUGACAGCACAAGGUCACAGAGUGAGAGAGAGAGAGAGAGAGAGAGAGAGAGAGAGAGAGAUAAAGUAAAAGACAUAACAGAUAGAUAUACAGAGAGAGAGAGAGAGAGAAUGGAUAAUUAGACUGAGUAAUCGGUCUUUCAUUAACCCGAGUUCUUUUUCUCGUCACAGUCACAUCAUGGAUGACGGUGCGUAUGUCAGAGUAGAUGAUGGUGUGUGUGUGUGUGUGUGUGUGUGUGUGUGUCAGCGUGGAUGAUAGUGUGUGUGUUCUCCGCAGCUGAUCAAACUCCUCUUGAUGAUCUGGCUUUCAUCCCCUAUCAUUGGCUAAUCAAACAGAACACAACUUGCCAACACACACACGCUUAACAGGCAUGCACGAGCUGUCACACUCCCACUCGUUCACACUCCCACUCCCGGCACCAUCGCACUUUCAGCGCACGCACACACACACACACACACACACACACACACACACAGACGCAUACAUGCCAGCUGCGUGGUCUGUCACCAUCAGCACAGGCCAAACAUUCUCCUUCCUCUCAUAACGGCCGGCUCGGAGGUCAGCGGAGUGGGCGGGGUUUUAUGGUAAUGUGGGAGGAGCUUCAUGUUUAGAGCACAAAAUUAGAGUUUGACAUCUAGGCGUUCAGAGAAAAAGGAGUACAUAUACGGAAAUAUGGGCGGGGCUUUGAGGCCAUAUAGGGAAAUAUAGCUGAUCAUUGGAGUCCAGAUAUGGAAAUUGAGGCGGGACUUUAAUCCAUAUUUAGUCCAUAUAUAUAUAGUAUAUAGGAAGUAUGGAAUCUUGAGUCUAUAUAGUUCCAUUUAUGUGUCCAUAUAUGGAAAUACCGGCGGGACAUGAGUCCAUAUGUGGAAGUAGAAGUGGGACUAGAGUUGAGAUAUGGAAAUAUAGGAUGGCGUCCAAAUAUGGAAGUAUAGCUGAACCUUAGAGUCCAUAUACUUCAAUGUAGGUGUGACUGUGUCGGAAUAUGGAAAUCCAGGUGGGACUCGAGUCCAUAUAUAGAAGUAGAAUUGAGACUGGAGUGCAGAUUUGGAAAUAUUGCUGGACGUUGCGUCCAUUUAUGGAAGUAUAGCUGAAACUUUGAGUCUAUAUAUACUUCAAUAUAGGUGAGCUUAUGUCCAUAUAUGGCACUAUAGGCAGGACCCGAAUCCAUAUAUGUAUAUUUGUUGAGACUGUGUCCAUAUAUGGCGGAAUAUCUGAAACUCUGUGUCUAUAUAUGAAAAUAGAGGAGACUUAAAUCCGACAUGGACGUAUAAGCAGGAAUGUGAGUCCAUACAUGCUAAUAUAGACAUGUCUCGGAACUCAUAUAUUGAAAUGGAAGCGUCUUCGAUGGGUGUGAUUUGAAGACCAUAUAUGGAAAAUAUGGGCGUGUCUUAGGAAUCAAACAUGGAUUGGCUCAUCUCUCAGUUCACCUGUGGAGAUUUGAGUGUGUCUAUUGAGUUCUUGUAUGGAAAUGUGGGAUUGUCCGAGACCAUAUAUGGGAACGUGAGGUGUGUCUCUGAGCUCGGGUGUGGAAAUAGUCAGGUAUUUUCACAAAUAUUGUUAAUGACAGGAGAAAACCUUAUCAUACUGACGGAUUUAUUUGACCUGCUCAGAAACAUAGAAAAGGCGUGUCUUCGGGUUCAUACACGGGUACCAAGACACGCCCACUAAUCUGAAUCUUGCAGAUGGACCACCAUCUUUUUUUUGUGAUGUUUUCUCUGUGAGGGAGUCUUAGUAAGUUGGGAAAAAGCACAGCAGUGUGUGUGAAUACUUUGUUUUGACUUGUGUAAUUCCGGCAGAUAUAAAUAGUCAGACUGAAUGCAAAUGAGCAGCACGGAGAACACUCUGUUCUAGCGGUGCAUGUCGCUUUCCCAGAUGAUUUGAUGCGGAACUUGAUCGAUGAUCUGAUGGGACACUUACGGGCACAGAGGCCACGCCUCCUUAACCAAAGCUGACUUUUUACAACCCAUACUCUGUCACUUCCUUAUUUAGGCAUAGAAUGAAAAAUGAACUGGUUGAUCUGGAAGACAAUGUUAUACAGCGCCUGCUGUCCUUAGCGUCCUGGCUCUGGAUUCUGUUUGGUCCCUUUCCGAGUCGGUCGGUUGUCACAUGAUGAUUUGUUACCUGGUUUGGUUCGCUGUCUAACGUGUCAGAAAUUUGGCAAAAAAGAUGAGUCUGGACAUUGGACCGGUGUAUUCAGGUCGUCGUUUAUUAGACGCAGAAGAUCAAUAUGGCAUUGUAUCGAAUGAGAAAAAGAACGGAUGUGGGAAAAGUGAGACGUUUUGCUGAGGGAGAAUGUCCUCCGUUUAAGACAAGUGUGCACACACACACAUGCGCACUCUUUUUAUCCUUCAAAGCAACUUAAACAGGCUUGAACAGAGCUGACUCAGUAGAAUAUGCCCAGUGAAAAGUCAGAAAACCUUAACAAGACAAACAGGAAAGAAAUAACAGUAAUACUCUCUCCACCAUCAUGUUCUCUAGGGGUAGAAUUACUACAGCCAGAUCAAUCCACCAUUAUCCACCCAAACGUGAAGCACUGCCUGAUGGUCCAAUGUACUAGAGUUGAUCCGAUGGGUCGAAUAGUUGUGAGUUGAGUUGUUGUGCUGUUGGUUGAGAGGAUGAAUCAUUGUUAUGUUGUGGAGUUGAGCUGUUUGUUAGAGUUGGCGAGUAGAACUGUUGAGUUAUGAUUAUGUGAGUUUUGUUGGUUUGAGUUGAGUUGUUAUGUUGAUGUGAGUUGAGUUGAGUUGAGUUGGUUUGAGUGAGGUUGUUAUGAUGAUGUGAGUUGAGUUGGUUUGAGUUGAGUUGUUAUGAUGAUGUGAGUUGAGUUGUGUUGGUCUGAGUUAAGUUGUUAUGAUGAUGUGAGUUGUGUUGGUUUGAGUGAGUUGUUAUGAUGAUGUGAGUUG
Long non-coding RNA from Ictalurus punctatus (channel catfish), 4704 nucleotides. Lineage: Eukaryota; Metazoa; Chordata; Actinopteri; Siluriformes; Ictaluridae. The record is from Ensembl.